GCUGCGGCGGCUAACACAUGCAAGUCGAGCGGUAGCACAGAGAGCUUGCUCUCGGGUGACGAGCGGCGGACGGGUGAGUAAUGUCUGGGAAACUGCCUGAUGGAGGGGGAUAACUACUGGAAACGGUAGCUAAUACCGCAUAACGUCGCAAGACCAAAGUGGGGGACCUUCGGGCCUCAUGCCAUCAGAUGUGCCCAGAUGGGAUUAGCUAGUAGGUGGGGUAACGGCUCACCUAGGCGACGAUCCCUAGCUGGUCUGAGAGGAUGACCAGCCACACUGGAACUGAGACACGGUCCAGACUCCUACGGGAGGCAGCAGUGGGGAAUAUUGCACAAUGGGCGCAAGCCUGAUGCAGCCAUGCCGCGUGUGUGAAGAAGGCCUUCGGGUUGUAAAGCACUUUCAGCGGGGAGGAAGGCGUUAAGGUUAAUAACCUUGUCGAUUGACGUUACCCGCAGAAGAAGCACCGGCUAACUCCGUGCCAGCAGCCGCGGUAAUACGGAGGGUGCAAGCGUUAAUCGGAAUUACUGGGCGUAAAGCGCACGCAGGCGGUCUGUCAAGUCGGAUGUGAAAUCCCCGGGCUCAACCUGGGAACUGCAUUCGAAACUGGCAGGCUAGAGUCUUGUAGAGGGGGGUAGAAUUCCAGGUGUAGCGGUGAAAUGCGUAGAGAUCUGGAGGAAUACCGGUGGCGAAGGCGGCCCCCUGGACAAAGACUGACGCUCAGGUGCGAAAGCGUGGGGAGCAAACAGGAUUAGAUACCCUGGUAGUCCACGCCGUAAACGAUGUCGAUUUGGAGGUUGUGCCCUUGAGGCGUGGCUUCCGGAGCUAACGCGUUAAAUCGACCGCCUGGGGAGUACGGCCGCAAGGUUAAAACUCAAAUGAAUUGACGGGGGCCCGCACAAGCGGUGGAGCAUGUGGUUUAAUUCGAUGCAACGCGAAGAACCUUACCUGGUCUUGACAUCCACAGAACUUUCCAGAGAUGGAUUGGUGCCUUCGGGAACUGUGAGACAGGUGCUGCAUGGCUGUCGUCAGCUCGUGUUGUGAAAUGUUGGGUUAAGUCCCGCAACGAGCGCAACCCUUAUCCUUUGUUGCCAGCGGUCCGGCCGGGAACUCAAAGGAGACUGCCAGUGAUAAACUGGAGGAAGGUGGGGAUGACGUCAAGUCAUCAUGGCCCUUACGACCAGGGCUACACACGUGCUACAAUGGCAUAUACAAAGAGAAGCGACCUCGCGAGAGCAAGCGGACCUCAUAAAGUAUGUCGUAGUCCGGAUUGGAGUCUGCAACUCGACUCCAUGAAGUCGGAAUCGCUAGUAAUCGUAGAUCAGAAUGCUACGGUGAAUACGUUCCCGGGCCUUGUACACACCGCCCGUCACACCAUGGGAGUGGGUUGCAAAAGAAGUAGGUAGCUUAACCUUCGGGAGGGCGCUUACCAACUUUGGAUUCCAG
Molecule: ribosomal RNA, 1443 nt
Filed under: Klebsiella pneumoniae
Lineage: Bacteria; Pseudomonadati; Pseudomonadota; Gammaproteobacteria; Enterobacterales; Enterobacteriaceae
Description: bacterial SSU rRNA
Rfam family: Bacterial small subunit ribosomal RNA
Source: RNAcentral